UUGAAAUCCUUGUAGGCAGAAAAGAAGAUGAUAAAUUGAGGGGGAAAAAAAAGAGGCUAACUACAGGACUUUGAGACUCUGAGAUAGAAGUGGAUUCCAUGAAUGCCUUUUGACUAUAAUCCUGGGAGGACUGAAACUUACACAGCAUCCAGGAGCACUGUGGAGGUUUCAGGACAGGGCAAAUGACCUCGAGACCCAGAGGACGUGAGCUGAAUGCAUAUCUUCCUUUGUUUCAGCAGGAAUAAAGUUAACUAGGGAAAGCUACUUAUGGCUCCUCAAGAGGGAGAAGAAAGAAAUCUCUAACUGGUUCUUACAAACUAGAGCAAAGAUUUCCUGGAGCAGAGGCUUUGAAGACAUGGUGGGUCUGGCCAAAGCUCAGAUGAUUGGCAGUGAAGGUGGGCGCCGGUGUUGGAGCCUGUCACCAUGUGUGGUCUGUGCUUAGAGUAGAGGGAUAAACUGCCUCCCUAGAGGCCAGGAAGGACAGGGCAGCCAUAAAUGAGACUUCAACCCAUCAACCCCAUGAUACUGUCAGCUCUCUGUGGCUUUCAUCCCUACCAGUCUCUCAAACCUCACGUGCGACUUAUCUCCUGAGUCUACUCCAGCCCAUGGUUUUCUGGUUCUUCUUCAAACAUAAGAAGGUCAUUCCCACUGGGGCCUUUGCAAGUUGUUCCUGCUGGUGAAAAUGAUUUUCUUUCCUUCAGAUCUUCACAGUUACAUCCUCUCACUUCAUUCAAAUCUCUGCUCAAAAGUUCCCUUCAUAGACAUUUCCCCCAGGUCACUUUUCUAAAAUAGCCUCCUGUACCAUCCUCACUAUACUCUGGUUUAUUUUCUUCCUAAUGCUAUUUCUAUCUAAAAUUAUAAUGUGAUAGUAGAGGAUAGGAAAGGUAGCAGAAUACAACAGUUACUAAUAUGGCUUUAUGUAAAAAUGUAGAUGUGUAACCAAUGUGAUUCUGCAAUCUGUAUU
This 964-nucleotide long non-coding RNA is filed under the name Marmota monax (woodchuck). Lineage: Eukaryota; Metazoa; Chordata; Mammalia; Rodentia; Sciuridae. The record is from RNAcentral.